UGUUCACAGAGGUCUAGGUGUUCAUAGAGGUCUAGAUGUUCAUAAAGGUCUAGAUGUUCAUAAAGGUCUAGAUGGUCAUAGAGGUCUAGGUGUUCAUAGAGGUCUAGGUGUUCACAGAGGUCUAGGUGUUCACAGAGGUCUAGGUGUUCACAGAGGUCUAGGUGUUCACAGAGGUCUAGGUGUUCACAGAGGUCUAGGUGUUCACAGAGGUCUAGGUGUUCACAGAGGUCUAGGUGUUCACAGAGGUCUAGGUGUUCACAGAGGUCUAGAUGUUCA
Long non-coding RNA from Acanthochromis polyacanthus (spiny chromis), 276 nucleotides. RefSeq lists it as uncharacterized. The transcript has 3 exons. NCBI's taxonomy places the organism in Eukaryota, Metazoa, Chordata, Actinopteri, Pomacentridae. The record is from RefSeq and is a predicted model, not a curated record.